GACAGAUGAUUGCCAGUGUUGUUUCAUUUCAGUUCUUAAGUUCCUGCAUGGGGUGCUUACUGAUGAGUCUGUCUCUCCUCUCAGGUAAGCCAGGCCUCCAUCCACUCCUGCACAGCAGGGAACGCUGCACGGUGGCCCAGGGUUCGUGGUGGGCACGCCGUACCCCUCACCCCCUCCACGUGGAGUCUGGCUGAGGGCUCCCUCCCGCAUGCCAGGCCUGGCAUGUCGGUGCAGGCCCUUGCAUUUCUGGCUGUGCUGCGCAGUCUCACCCUUGAGAAGAAGGGGGCGCUGUUGCCUCAGCCUUGCAGAGUUUCUCUGUGGUCAAACCACCCUGCCAGCCUCCCUGCUGCAGCCGGCAGCACGUCACUCCAUGCGGGAGGGGAGCCCCACCUAAGGUUCUUGGCCAUAAAAUAUGGCUUUUGGAAAAAUAAAGCUGAGACUUGGAGUUCACGGUGGGGGCUCCCCCAUCUGUGAACAGAAGCAGAAGUUUGGAACUGCCUUCUUUACUGCUCGAGAGGGAAAACUUGAGUGAAAACCAGGAUGCUGGCGAAUGUUGAGUAGCUAAGCUGCACAGGAAAUACCACUUGAUGACCUGCGAUCUGGGGAAGCCGCGCCAGGGCUCUGCGAAGCUGCGGACGAGGGAGGCGUCAGUGUGGGGGCUGCAGCUCAGCUCCGGGGGGGACGCGCCUUUCUCCACGGGACCUGGGGCUCAGGUGCUCACGAGGCUGGGGCGCUGCAGGCCACCCGCAGGGGAAACUGAGGCCCUCCAUUUUGUGGGGCUGGAAGACCUUUCCUUCCAAAAGCAGGUGUAGGCGGGAGCACCUGUGCAGUCCCUCUGUUCAGAUCCUCACCCACUUUUAAAUCAGGAAACAGCAGAUGAAAUGCACAGUGUGAAGGACAAGGAUUCUGCUGAGAGAAUUGCUCCGAGGGUUGCUCAAGUGAUCAUGGGAAAUAAUGCAUCAAACCAUUCUUUAGAUGCAGCUCAGGUGUGCCUUUUCUUCGCCUGUGCCCAUCCACCUGAGAUGGACCAUAACCAUAAAAGUCAGAAGGCACUGACCCUUCAGGACGUGACAGGGUUAAAAGAUGCUGGAGGGAAAGUCUGUCAUUGACUUUUAUUCACUUCCUUUCUCCAUUCUGCCAUUUGGAAGAAGGUAAGCAACUUAACACUAUUUUAGACCAUAUGUUGUAAACUAGCAGGAAAAUGCCUUUGAGCUGAUGAUGGUGGCCCGAACACAGUGAACCUGUCUUAAAUCCCUGCUUUAAACCCUUAAGGGUGUCACUUACAAGAGAUACUAUUUGAAGUCUUCCCAUGCAUGUGUAGGGUGGGGGGAGUACCAACAGCUCAUCGAAUGGGCUCCAUUUGAAAGAUCUGGAUGGUUGCCUUUAUUUGUAACUAGUUUCUUUUCUUUUUUUUUUUUUCCUUGAG
RNAcentral lists this long non-coding RNA (1426 nucleotides) under Homo sapiens (human). RNAcentral describes it as "HSALNT0324964". Lineage: Eukaryota; Metazoa; Chordata; Mammalia; Primates; Hominidae. The record is from RNAcentral.